AAAAAGUUGGCCGAGUGGUUAAGGCGACAGACUCGAAUUUGCCUUGCUUUUCAAGGCUCUAUCGUUAUCUGUUGGGUUCGCCCGCACAGGUUCAAAUCCUGUAGCUGUCG
RNAcentral lists this transfer RNA (110 nucleotides) under Exophiala xenobiotica. RNAcentral's name for it is "tRNA-Ser". The stretch from base 7 to 103 matches the Rfam family "tRNA", at positions 7 to 64 of the family's 71-position model. From Rfam's summary of the family: Transfer RNA (tRNA) molecules are approximately 80 nucleotides in length. Their secondary structure includes four short double-helical elements and three loops (D, anti-codon, and T loops). The record is from RNAcentral. Lineage: Eukaryota; Fungi; Ascomycota; Eurotiomycetes; Chaetothyriales; Herpotrichiellaceae.